UCUGCAAAUAUAGCCCCAAGCCACAGUGAGGAGGAUGAGGAGGGUGGGGGAACAGGUAAAGCCACCCACAGCUCCCCCCACCUGGCAGACCUGAUUCCAAACUUUGCCUUUAUUAGCUCAUCCAUCUCUCAGUCACUGUUUGAGGAAGGUGCCAUUAUGACCCCGUUUCCCAGAAGAGGAGAUGGAGGCACGGAGCAGCAACAUCACUUGUCCCAGGCCACGUGGCUUGAGGGAACUGUCACGGGCGUCUGCAUACCAGAGUUAACCCGGCUGGGUGGUGAAGGUGCACCUCCUCUGUUGACCAUGCUGCCCGCCAGGAACACCCUGGGAACAUCUUGCCCUCAACAGCAGGGAAUAGGUCUAAGAAAAUUCAUAUAAAUGCAUAAUCUUCAUAGUAUUACUUAGAUCAGCAAAACGGGAACACCAUUGGAGGUGCACAAAAGGCGUGUGGCUGAAAUUGAGUGGAGAGGGAUGCAGGAUGGCGCAGGAAGAUGGUGAGAACUCAGGUGUGAGGAAGGCGCAGAACACGGGCUGCGGGAAGGCGUGCAGAGUGAGAGAACUCAGGUGUGAGGAAGGCGCAGAACACGGGCUGCGGGAAUGUGCAGAGUGAGAGAACUCAGGUGUGAGGAAGGCGCAGAACAUGGGCUGCGGGAAUGUGCAGAGUGAGAGAACUCAGGUGUGAGGAAGGCGCAGAACACGGGCUGCGGGAAUGUGCAGAGUGAGCAGGAUUCACUCUGGACAGAGUGCGUAUGGGAAUGCAUUUUCUUCUUUGUGCUCUACAGUAGACACCCAAUUAAUCAGUGACUGAGAAAAAGCAGAGUAUCCACCUGGCUCUCUUUCUGCCAAGAACCGCGACUGCCUCCACCGCUCCAUAUGGGACCACCCUGCCUAA
RNAcentral lists this long non-coding RNA (892 nucleotides) under Pan troglodytes (chimpanzee). RNAcentral describes it as "long non-coding RNA NONPTRT010984". Lineage: Eukaryota; Metazoa; Chordata; Mammalia; Primates; Hominidae. The record is from RNAcentral.